CGAUUACUAGCGAUUCCGGCUUCAUGUAGUCGAGUUGCAGACUACAAUCCGAACUGAGACCGGCUUUGAGGAUUGGCUCCACCUCGCGGUAUCGCAACCCACUGUACCGGCCAUUGUAGCACGUGUGUAGCCCUGGACAUAAGGACCAUGAGGACUUGACGUCAUCCCCACCUUCCUCCGCCUCAUCGGCGGCAGUCCCCCUAGAGUGCCCACCCGAAGUGCUGGCAACUAAGGGCAAGGGUUGCGCUCGUUGCGGGACUUAACCCAACAUCUCACGACACGAGCUGACGACAGCCAUGCAGCACCUGUGCAUCGACCCCGAAGGGAAAGUGUGUUUCCACACCCGUCCGAUGCAUGUCAAGCCCAGGUAAGGUUCUUCGCGUUGCAUCGAAUUAAACCACAUGCUCCACCGCUUGUGCGGGCCCCCGUCAAUUCCUUUGAGUUUCAACCUUGCGGUCGUACUCCCCAGGCGGGGCACUUAAUGCGUUAGCUGCGGCACGGAAGGGGUCGAUGCCUCCCACACCUAGUGCCCACCG
RNAcentral lists this ribosomal RNA (536 nucleotides) under uncultured bacterium. RNAcentral describes it as "partial 16S ribosomal RNA". The record is from RNAcentral.